Molecule: ribosomal RNA, 1372 nt
Filed under: uncultured bacterium
Lineage: Bacteria
Description: bacterial SSU rRNA
Rfam family: Bacterial small subunit ribosomal RNA
Source: RNAcentral
GAUGAACGCUGGCGGCGUGCCUAAUACAUGCAAGUCGAGCGAACGGACGAGAAGCUUGCUUCUCUGAUGUUAGCGGCGGACGGGUGAGUAACACGUGGAUAACCUACCUAUAAGACUGGGAUAACUUCGGGAAACCGGAGCUAAUACCGGAUAAUAUUUUGAACCGCAUGGUUCAAAAGUGAAAGACGGUCUUGCUGUCACUUAUAGAUGGAUCCGCGCUGCAUUAGCUAGUUGGUAAGGUAACGGCUUACCAAGGCAACGAUGCAUAGCCGACCUGAGAGGGUGAUCGGCCACACUGGAACUGAGACACGGUCCAGACUCCUACGGGAGGCAGCAGUAGGGAAUCUUCCGCAAUGGGCGAAAGCCUGACGGAGCAACGCCGCGUGAGUGAUGAAGGUCUUCGGAUCGUAAAACUCUGUUAUUAGGGAAGAACAUAUGUGUAAGUAACUGUGCACAUCUUGACGGUACCUAAUCAGAAAGCCACGGCUAACUACGUGCCAGCAGCCGCGGUAAUACGUAGGUGGCAAGCGUUAUCCGGAAUUAUUGGGCGUAAAGCGCGCGUAGGCGGGUUUUUAAGUCUGAUGUGAAAGCCCACGGCUCAACCGUGGAGGGUCAUUGGAAACUGGAAAACUUGAGUGCAGAAGAGGAAAGUGGAAUUCCAUGUGUAGCGGUGAAAUGCGCAGAGAUAUGGAGGAACACCAGUGGCGAAGGCGACUUUCUGGUCUGUAACUGACGCUGAUGUGCGAAAGCGUGGGGAUCAAACAGGAUUAGAUACCCUGGUAGUCCACGCCGUAAACGAUGAGUGCUAAGUGUUAGGGGGUUUCCGCCCCUUAGUGCUGCAGCUAACGCAUUAAGCACUCCGCCUGGGGAGUACGACCGCAAGGUUGAAACUCAAAGGAAUUGACGGGGACCCGCACAAGCGGUGGAGCAUGUGGUUUAAUUCGAAGCAACGCGAAGAACCUUACCAAAUCUUGACAUCCUUUGACAACUCUAGAGAUAGAGCUUUCCCCUUCGGGGGACAAAGUGACAGGUGGUGCAUGGUUGUCGUCAGCUCGUGUCGUGAGAUGUUGGGUUAAGUCCCGCAACGAGCGCAACCCUUAAGCUUAGUUGCCAUCAUUAAGUUGGGCACUCUAAGUUGACUGCCGGUGACAAACCGGAGGAAGGUGGGGAUGACGUCAAAUCAUCAUGCCCCUUAUGAUUUGGGCUACACACGUGCUACAAUGGACAAUACAAAGGGCAGCGAAACCGCGAGGUCAAGCAAAUCCCAUAAAGUUGUUCUCAGUUCGGAUUGUAGUCUGCAACUCGACUACAUGAAGCUGGAAUCGCUAGUAAUCGUAGAUCAGCAUGCUACGGUGAAUACGUUCCCGGGUCU